Molecule: long non-coding RNA, 202 nt
Filed under: Jatropha curcas
Lineage: Eukaryota; Viridiplantae; Streptophyta; Magnoliopsida; Malpighiales; Euphorbiaceae
Description: long non-coding RNA (JCUR_LNC002065)
Source: RNAcentral
UUUUUUUUUUAGUAAGUUGAGUAAGACGAACCAUAGGCUCCAUUUUCAAGUGUAUCGGGCUAUCUUAAGCCCAUUGAUCUACGUUCAAGAAAGAGUACAGUACUUCUGGGAGAUGAUUCAUUAACAAACAUUUAUUCACAGGGCGCUCGAACUGCCUUUCCUUCAUAUCCCCCCGCCUAAUAUACUUCUUUCCAUCUUACUG